UACAACCUCUCAAAUAUUUCUAACUCAUACUCAUGUGAAUAUAGUUUCCAGGAUGUGCACUAGAUUCACACUUUCAUCUUAAGCAUGAUUAUACAUAGCAAACACAACUAAGAUGAAAGAAACUUAAGACUUACAACAACUUAAUAAUUACAUAGGCCGACCGGCCAAAUAGACUUAUUAGAGAACAGCGGAAGCUUGACUACCCAAUCACAAGCACACCGACUAGGGGUUUACCCCAUUAAGUUCUCAUCCUAGAAGAAGCAAUCAAAACCCGCAUCACUUAAAGACUAAGUCUAAACCUGCAAACAAAAGGUUAUAUCAACAACAAGAGUCAGUACAUUAAAUUGUUUAAUGGCAAGUACAAGUCAAUCCUACUAUACUACAUGUAAGGCAUAUAUUCAAAGGAAGGCAAUAUGUAGUUCAAUUUCAGUAUAAAGCAAGUUUUGUUUCGCAAUUCUUUUGUAAAGGAGUUGAUGCUUCAAUUAACAAAACAAAUUUUAAGUUUCAAUAUUAAGUUCAUCAUAAUUCCAUCAUAAUCAAUCUCUUGUUGUCAUCCUUCGACAACAAGUCAUAAUAUAUCACCACACACACACAACUCAACACAUUUAUCAUUUCAAACCAAGGUCAUAUGUUCACAUUUUAAAACAUAGUCUAUACUCAUGACACUUCACCAAAGCGCUCUUGACCGUGAACACGGCUAAUCAAUUAGUUUAAAGAACUCUGCAAAAUUUGUACACCUUUAUCCACAUGAUGUGAUAGAAGCCCAGAGGCUACACUCUAGUUGGUUCAGUGCCGGCCAAGCACCCCACACUCUACAUUAUGAGUGCGGACUAGAGGUCACAACGAAGCCUUUACACUACUUAGAAUCUAGCCUUGCACCAGCACGAUACGUGUUCCUCCAUCCUAGGCAUACUUGAAAAUAUGUCUAGAACCGUUAAGUGGCGGGCCCACGCCUUAAACUUAAUGCCGUGGUGGCGGACACAACGGGAACCCACCCACGUGGCACAAUACCGUUGUAUUGGACAGACUUAGUCCCCUAAACUACCACGUCAGGGCAAAUAGGAAGUUCCUCUGAAUCAUCGACUAAUUCCUCAGAAUUAUCGACUAACUCAUACACACCAGCCUACCAGAAUGCAAGGCUAGUUCUAAAUAGAUUAAUCAGCUUAGGCCAUCCCAUACUAGCACAUGUGGAUGUACGAAUAACUUUAAGUUGGUGACACAAGUUCGGUCCUUACGGACUUGGCCAAACACUCCCCCUAUCGGCAUGCACCUAACACCAUAUGCACAUCACUUGCCGCCCAAGUCUAAAAUCACAUUUUACACAUUUUAGUUCGCAAAUACCCAUCAUAUUCAUUUUAUUCCAGCAAAGGUUCAUGUGUCAAAAAUCACAUUUUAAUUAUAGAUGGAAUGAACAUUUGCAUAUUUCUAAGCAUGGCUAAGCAAGUAGUUGCAUAUAGAGCAUAUAUAAACCCAUUUGAGCACAAAGAGUGUGCUCUAACCAUUUCUAGGGGUUCAAACAGCAAGAGGAUCAAUUAUUCAAGGUAGGGAAUGCAGCAAAUAGGUCAUAACUACCUUAUCCCAAUUUCAAAUACCGAAAUAGUCUAAGUUCACAUGCAACUUUGCAAACAAAUAUUUUCAUUCCUCAAAUCAUGGGAUUCAAUGUGUUCAAAGGAUGGGAGGAGAAAACUUGCCUUGAUCAGAGAAAUGUUAGCACCUAAUCCACUCCUUCACCGAUUAUGCAAUUAUCUAGAUAAAGGACACGUUAUGCAAUUAAACACCGAAAUAGCUGAAAAUCUAAAAUGCUCUAAAAUUCAUGAUUUAUGCACAGUGAUUAGGUACUGGUCUUAUAAUGAAUUUAGGUGAAAGAAUUUUUAUUUUAUCUUAUUCCAUUUGGGAGUUAUGAAUUUUAGAGGUUUUAUCGGUUUAUAGUAAUAUAGUCUUAGGUAGUGUUACAAAAUACUUUUGUAAAGUGAUUUUUAUUAGAUUAGACUUCACAGGGGUGUGGAGAUGUGUUUUCUAAGACUAACACAUUUGGUUUCACAAAUUUUGGAUUUAUAAUGAAUUCUUUAUGCAUUUUACAAGUUAUAACGUGUUAGAGUUGUUGGUUCAGAACAUGCUACCUACUGUUUAAGUUGAAUAAAAGAAGUAAUUUGGUUAACUAAAACAUUUUUAGUUCACAUGUUUAUGGUUUUUACUACUAUGGUUCAUACUUUAUAAACUAGGGGUGCUCUGAUCUAGACUAGCAAUACAUUAUAUUAACCUAGAAAUUAUUAUAUGAGCUAAGUUCUUUUAAGUUUUAGUGGAUGGGAAAGGAACUAUGCUCCACUGUUCUAACAAGUUUUAUUUAGGUUUAUUCAUAGCUAGAGUGCAUUAUAAAUACUUCUACACAUAUAUUUUGCUUAACCAUUACUAAGUAAUUAACUCCUAGGUUAUCUAUUUAAAGAUUAGAGCUAUCAUUUGUACAAAAGGUGUCUUAUUUUAUUUUACUAUGUUGAAGCUAACCAUUUGCUGGUUCUAUAGAAACUUGGUUCAUUUCAUUUGGACUAAAAAUGAAUUUUCUACAAAUCUUACAAAUUAAAGGCUUCUCUAUGUUGGUAAAUCCUUACAUGAUUAGAGACUUUUACUACACAGUAAGUAUAUAAUUUUAUUUCAUAACCUGGGAAUACACAUUUUGAUGAUUCUACAGAACUUAAGUUUACUAAAAUUGAAGCUAAGUUGAAUUUUAUAUGAAUUUCUAAAAUUUAGCUUAUCUAAAACUAGUCAUUUUAAAGAUAAUAGUUUUAGAGGCUUUUGAUGCAAAGUAAGUAAUUACUUUUAUUUCACCUAAUCAGAGAGUGCAUGAUGAUGAAUUUGUAGAAUUUGAGUUUGUUUCAAAAUGAGUUUAGAUGAAUUUUCUAUGUGUUUUAUAAAUUUGUAUAUGCUUUAUGUAUGACUUAUCUUAGAUAAAUGUUAGAGGCAAAGUUUGUACAGUGAGUGUCAAGUUUUAUAUUCCUGGAAUAAAGUUCAUAACCUUAAGAAUCUACAGCAACUGGAAACACUUCAAAAUAAGCUAUAUUUGAUUUCUUAUGGAUUUUACAAGUUUGUGCAUUUUUCUGUUAAACAUAUAUUUGUUUGGCAUUGCCUUAAUUAUUCUCCAGAUUUUAAAGGAUGGGGUCCACAUGGCUGUGAGGGACCAAUAUGCAAAAAGGCCCUUGAGGUUUCUAGGAAUCAACCCGCAGUCCUAGGCCCAUAUGUCAGUGUGUUUCUACAAUUGUAAACGGAUCCCUGCACUUAAUCUAAUUCACGGGAGUCAUCCCUCUGCUCUAGACAGAGCAGAGCUAGCCAUGGCUGAGCUCGAUCUCGAGCUCGCCAGCGGCAAACGUUGGCUCGUUUGAGGUUGAGGUCAAAAGAUAAAAUGAAGAGCAAGCUCUCGCGAUUCCAUUCCUCUAGUUUUCUUGGUUUGGGGACAUCGGAGUAGCGCCGAUGGCUAGUGUGAGCGGAAGGUGUUUUCGGGUGAUGGUGCAUGUGCAUCUACAGUCAUGUAUUGGUUAAGUGGGUGCAUGCAUGUGAGUAUUUGAGGUUCAUGGGUAUAUACCAUGGUGUUGGCCAGAGUUGAUGAGGUCCAGACGAUGGCGGCAGCACACGAAAAUGGCUUGGCGACGGCGCUUCACUCCGGGAUGACGUCGACGGCUUGAUCUACCAAUCCAUCUGGCAUGAAUGAGGUCAUACGUUGUUAGCGAGGUCUCAGGGAUGCUUCAUGUGCAAAGAAUCAGACAAUGGCUCACCGGAGAAGGCGGAAUCGACCAUGGCGACGGCGGCGGAUUCAAAUUGGCGCCGGGGAAGAAAAGAUGCGUUCUCCGUGUUCUAGAUGUCUUGGGCUGGGGUUCUUGAGGCGUUUUGAAGAGUAGGUCGAGGUGAGAUUCUUGGCGCAGCGGCUUGCUCCGAGAUGGUCGAGGAUGGCUAGACGACGACGAUGAUUGAAGCGGCGGUGCUCCAGUGCGUGCUCCAGGGCGCCGUCGGCGUGGUCGCGUUCCGAUGGCUGUGAUGCACAAAACGGGAGGUGGUCAAAAGAGAAAUGGUUCGGCAUUGUGUGGAGAUAAGGGAACGCGAAAAACAUAGAGAUGACCUCGACCCAAUCGGCGUUGGCGAAGGUCGUCGCCACUACGACCGGCGGCGAGGUUGAGGAUGACGGAGAGGCUGAGGACCUCUCCCUCGGCUUCUUCAGCUCUAGAGUGAUGUGCGG
RNAcentral lists this long non-coding RNA (4222 nucleotides) under Oryza sativa (Asian cultivated rice). RNAcentral describes it as "long non-coding RNA (OSAT_LNC001586)". The record is from RNAcentral. Lineage: Eukaryota; Viridiplantae; Streptophyta; Magnoliopsida; Poales; Poaceae.